Molecule: small nucleolar RNA, 98 nt
Filed under: Sphenodon punctatus (tuatara)
Lineage: Eukaryota; Metazoa; Chordata; Lepidosauria; Sphenodontia; Sphenodontidae
Description: Small nucleolar RNA SNORD125 (ENSSPUG00000007975.1)
Rfam family: Small nucleolar RNA SNORD125
Source: Rfam by way of RNAcentral
GACAGGAAUAGCCUCUUGUGAUGAACCUUCUCUCUGAGUGGCGCUGGUGAUGAACAUACCUGAGCCUCUAAGAAGUUGACUGAAGAAGCUACCUGUCA